RNAcentral lists this ribosomal RNA (498 nucleotides) under uncultured bacterium. Its description in RNAcentral is "partial 16S ribosomal RNA". It matches the Rfam family "Bacterial small subunit ribosomal RNA", at positions 28 to 523 of the family's 1533-position model. The record is from RNAcentral.
GAUGAACGCUAGUGGCAGGCCUAAUACAUGCAAGUCGAACGAUAGAGGAGGGCUUGCUCUCUUCGAAAGUGGCGCACGGGUGCGUAACGCGUAUGCAACCUACCUUAAUCAGGGGGAUAGCCCGAAGAAAUUCGGAUUAACACCGCAUAGAAUCACAGUACAGCAUUGUACAAUGAUCAAAUAUUUAUAGGAUUAAGAUGGGCAUGCGUGACAUUAGCUAGUUGGCGGGGUAACGGCCCACCAAGGCGACGAUGUCUAGGGGAUCUGAGAGGGUGACCCGCCACACUGGUACUGAGACACGGACCAGACUCCUACGGGAGGCAGCAGUAAGGAAUAUUGGUCAAUGGGGGCAACUCUGAACCAGCCAUGCCGCGUGCAGGAAGACAGCCCUCUGGGUCGUAAACUGCUUUUAUUCGGGAAUAAACCUACUUACGUGUAAGUAGCUGAAUGUACCGAAGGAAUAAGGAUCGGCUAACUCCGUGCCAGCAGCCGCCGUAA